Molecule: ribosomal RNA, 253 nt
Filed under: uncultured bacterium
Lineage: Bacteria
Description: partial 16S ribosomal RNA
Rfam family: Bacterial small subunit ribosomal RNA
Source: RNAcentral
UACGUAGGGGGCAAGCGUUGUCCGGAUUUAUUGGGCGUAAAGAGCGUGUAGGCGGUUAUGCAGGUCCGCUGUGAAAACUCGAGGCUUAACCUCGAGCUGUCGGCGGAAACCAUCUGGCUAGAGUCCGGAAGAGGAGAAUGGGAUUCCCGGUGUAGCGGUGAAAUGCGCAGAUAUCGGGAAGAACACCCGUGGCGAAGGCGGUUCUCUGGGACGGUACUGACGCUGAGACGCGAAAGCGUGGGGAGCGAACAGG